UACAGAGGGGGCAAGCGUUGUUCGGAAUUACUGGGCGUAAAGGGCGCGUAGGCGGCCUUCUAAGUCAUGCGUGAAAUCCCCGGGCUCAACCCGGGAACUGCGUCUGAUACUGGAAGGCUUGAAUCCGGGAGAGGGAUGUGGAAUUCCAGGUGUAGCGGUGAAAUGCGUAGAUAUCUGGAGGAACACCGGUGGCGAAGACGGCAUUCUGGACCGACAUUGACGCUGAGGAGCGAAAGCCAGGGGAGCAAACGGG
This 253-nucleotide ribosomal RNA is filed under the name uncultured bacterium. RNAcentral's name for it is "partial 16S ribosomal RNA". It matches the Rfam family "Bacterial small subunit ribosomal RNA", at positions 524 to 776 of the family's 1533-position model. The record is from RNAcentral.